RNAcentral lists this ribosomal RNA (253 nucleotides) under uncultured bacterium. RNAcentral's name for it is "partial 16S ribosomal RNA". It matches the Rfam family "Bacterial small subunit ribosomal RNA", at positions 524 to 776 of the family's 1533-position model. The record is from RNAcentral.
UACGUAGGUGGCAAGCGUUGUCCGGAAUUACUGGGCGUAAAGCGUGCGUAGGCGGUGCCUCAAGUUUGGUGUGAAAUCUCCCGGCUCAACCGGGAGGGUGCGCCGAAAACUGAGGUGCUCGAGUGUGGGAGAGGUAAGCGGAAUUCCUGGUGUAGCGGUGAAAUGCGUAGAUAUCAGGAGGAACACCGGCGGUGUAGACGGCUUACUGGACCAUAACUGACGCUGAGGCACGAAAGUGUGGGGAGCAAACAGG